UCGCUACUACCGAUUGGGAAAAUUUUAGAGAAUAAUGGACUAGGUCUUAUUAAGCUUCACGGCUUGAUUUGACUUGGGAAAUUUUUCUAUAAUAUUUUUCUAGAGGAAGUAA
Molecule: ribosomal RNA, 112 nt
Filed under: uncultured eukaryote
Lineage: Eukaryota
Description: partial small subunit ribosomal RNA
Rfam family: Eukaryotic small subunit ribosomal RNA
Source: RNAcentral